GCCUAACGGCUGAACUGGCAACUUGGAGAAGUGGCAAGUUUUAUAAUUAAUAGUAAUUAAUAUUUCUAUUUUUAUAAAAUUCUAUUAGAAUUGAAUGAAGCUUUGUUUAUAUAUUGAUAAUGACAGUAUAUAUAUCGUGUCUUGACUAAUUGCGUGCCAGCAGUCGCGGUAAUACGUAAGAGACUAGUGUUAUUCAUCUUAAUUAGGUUUAAAGGGUACCCAGACGGUCAAUAUAUCUUCUAUAAUGUUAGUACUUGACUAGAGUUUUAUGUAAGAGGGCAGUACUUGAGGAGGAGAGAUGAAAUUUCGUGAUACCAAAGGGACUCUGUAAAGGCGAAGGCAGCCCUCUAUGUAAAAACUGACGUUGAAGGACGAAGGCACAGAGAACAAACAGGAUUAGAUACCCAAGUAGUCUUUGCAGUAAAUGAUGAAUGCCAUAGGUCAGAUCUAAAUUUAAUGUUUAUAAAUUAUAGAAGCGUCUUAAUUGGCAGCUUUGCAAAAAAUUAUAAAGAUUAAAAAUUAUUUGGUCUAUAAAUGAAAGUGUAAGCAUUUCACCUCAAGAGUAAUGUGGCAACGCAGGAACUGAAAUCACUAGACCGUUUCUGACACCAGUAGUGAAGU
This 621-nucleotide ribosomal RNA is filed under the name Ilyonectria liriodendri. Its description in RNAcentral is "SSU rRNA". It matches the Rfam family "Bacterial small subunit ribosomal RNA", at positions 374 to 938 of the family's 1533-position model. The record is from RNAcentral. Lineage: Eukaryota; Fungi; Ascomycota; Sordariomycetes; Hypocreales; Nectriaceae.